RNAcentral lists this ribosomal RNA (450 nucleotides) under uncultured bacterium. RNAcentral describes it as "partial 16S ribosomal RNA". It matches the Rfam family "Bacterial small subunit ribosomal RNA", at positions 354 to 796 of the family's 1533-position model. The record is from RNAcentral.
GUGGGGAAUCUUCCGCAAUGGACGAAAGUCUGACGGAGCGACGCCGCGUGAGUGAUGAAGGCCUUCGGGUCGUAAAGCUCUGUCAUCGGGGACGAAUGGUCGUUGGAGUGGAAAGCCAGCGAAAUGACGGUACCCGAGAAGGAAGCCACGGCUAACUACGUGCCAGCAGCCGCGGUAAUACGUAGGUGGCAAGCGUUGUCCGGAAUUAUUGGGCGUAAAGCGCGCGCAGGUGGGAUCUUAAGUCCAUUUUGAAAGUUCGGAGCUCAACUCCGUGAUGGGAUGGAAACUGGGAUUCUUGAGUACCGGAGAGGAAAGCGGAAUUCCCCGUGUAGCGGUGAAAUGCGUAGAUAUGGGGAGGAACACCAGUGGCGAAGGCGGCUUUCUGGACGGUGUCUGACACUGAGGCGCGAAAGCCAGGGGAGCGAACGGGAUUAGAAACCCUGGUAGUCC